RNAcentral lists this ribosomal RNA (1373 nucleotides) under uncultured bacterium. RNAcentral's name for it is "bacterial SSU rRNA". It matches the Rfam family "Bacterial small subunit ribosomal RNA". The record is from RNAcentral.
GAGUUUGAUCCUGGCUCAGGACGAACGCUGGCGGCGUGCUUAACACAUGCAAGUCGAACGGAAAGGCCCCGCUCGCGGGGUACUCGAGUGGCGAACGGGUGAGUAACACGUGGGUGAUCUGCCCUGCACUUCGGGAUAAGCCUGAGAAACUGGGUCUAAUACCGGAUAUGACCUCCCUUUAGUGUGGGGGGUGGAAAGAUUUAUCGGUGCAGGAUGAGCCCGCGGUCUAUCAGCUUGUUGGUGGGGUAAUGGCCUACCAAGGCGUCGACGGGUAGCCGGCCUGAAAGGGUGGACGGCCACAUUGGGACUGAGAUACGGCCCAGACUCCUACGGGAGGCAUCAGUGGGGAAUAUUGCACAAUGGGCGGAAGCCUGAUGCAACGACGCCGCGUGGGGGAUGACGGCCUUCGGGUAGUAAACCUCUUUCGACAGGGACGAAGUGAGAAUGACGGUACCUGUAUAAGAAGCACCGGCUAAAUACGUGCCAGCAGCCGCGGUAAUACGUAGGGUGCGAGCGUUGUCCGGAAUUACUGGGCGUAAAGAGCUCGUAGGUGGUUUGUCACGUCCUCUGUGAAAUACCGGGGCUUAACCUCGGGCGUGCAGGCCAUACGGGCAACACUGCACUGCUGUAGGGGCGACUGGACUUCCUGAUGUAGCGUGCAAAGCGCCCAUAUCAGGAGGAACACCAAUGGCGAAGGCAGGUCUCUGGGCAGUUACUGACGCUGAGGAGCGAAAGCAUGGGUAGCGAACAGGAUUAGAUACACUGGUAGUCCAUGCCGUAAACGGUGGGCGCUAGGUGUAGGGGACUUCCACGUUCUCUGUGCCGUAGCUAACGCAUUAAGCGCCCCGCCUGGGGAGUACGGCUGCAAGGCUAAAACUCAAAGGAAUUGACGGGGGCCCGCACAAGCGGCGGAGCAUGUGGAUUAAUUCGAUGCAACGCGAAGAACCUUACCUGGGCUUGACAUACACCGGACCGGCGUAGAGAUACGUCUUCCCUUGUGGCCGGUGUACAGGUGGUGCAUGGUUGUCGUCAGCUCGUGUCGUGAGAUGUUGGGUUAAGUCCCGCAACGAGCGCAACCCUUGUCUUAUGUUGCCAGCACGUGAUGGUGGGACUCAUGAGAGACUGCCGGGGUCAACUCGGAGGAAGGUGGGGAUGACGUCAAAUCAUCAUGCCCCUUAUGUUCAGGGCUUCACACAUGCUACAAUGGUCGGUACAGCAGGUCGCGAACUCGUGAGAGUAAGCCAAUCCUUCAAAGCCGGCCUCAGCUCGGAUUGGGGUCUGCAACUCGACCCCAUGAAGUCGGAGUCGCUAGUAAUCGCAGAUCAGCAACGAUGCGGUGAAUACGUUCCCGGGCCUUGUACACACCGCCCGUC